GGGGUGGUGGCGCAGUUGGCUAGCGCGUAGGUCAAACAAUCCUGAGGUCGAGAGUUCGAGCCUCUCUCACCCCA
This 74-nucleotide transfer RNA is filed under the name Triticum aestivum (bread wheat). Its description in RNAcentral is "tRNA-Val (AAC) (tRNA-Val-AAC-9-1)". It matches the Rfam family "tRNA". Rfam says of the family: Transfer RNA (tRNA) molecules are approximately 80 nucleotides in length. Their secondary structure includes four short double-helical elements and three loops (D, anti-codon, and T loops). The record is from RNAcentral. Lineage: Eukaryota; Viridiplantae; Streptophyta; Magnoliopsida; Poales; Poaceae.